This 440-nucleotide ribosomal RNA is filed under the name uncultured bacterium. RNAcentral's name for it is "partial 16S ribosomal RNA". It matches the Rfam family "Bacterial small subunit ribosomal RNA", at positions 338 to 795 of the family's 1533-position model. The record is from RNAcentral.
CCUACGGGAGGCAGCAGUGGGGAAUAUUGCACAAUGGGGGGAACCCUGAUGCAGCGACGCCGCGUGGGUGAGGAAGUACUUCGGUAUGUAAAGCCCUAUCAGCAGGGAAGAAAAUGACGGUACCUGACUAAGAAGCCCCGGCUAACUACGUGCCAGCAGCCGCGGUAAUACGUAGGGGGCAAGCGUUAUCCGGAUUUACUGGGUGUAAAGGGAGCGUAGACGGCGUGCCAAGUCUGGUGUGAAAGGCCGGGGCUCAACCCCGGGACUGCAUUGGAAACUGGCAUGCUGGAGUGCAGGAGGGGCAAGCGGAAUUCCUAGUGUAGCGGUGAAAUGCGUAGAUAUUAGGAGGAACACCGGUGGCGAAGGCGGCUUGCUGGACGGUAACUGACGUUGAGGCUCGAAAGCGUGGGGAGCAAACAGGAUUAGAUACCCCUGUAGUC